Molecule: ribosomal RNA, 253 nt
Filed under: uncultured bacterium
Lineage: Bacteria
Description: partial 16S ribosomal RNA
Rfam family: Bacterial small subunit ribosomal RNA
Source: RNAcentral
UACGAAGGGGGCUAGCGUUGCUCGGAAUUACUGGGCGUAAAGGGCGCGUAGGCGGACAGUUAAGUCAGAGGUGAAAGCCCAGGGCUCAACCCUGGAAUAGCCUUUGAUACUGGCUGUCUUGAGUGCGGGAGAGGUGUGUGGAACUCCGAGUGUAGAGGUGAAAUUCGUAGAUAUUCGCAAGAGCACCAGUGGCGAAGGCGGCUCACUGGCCCGAUACUGACGCUGAGGUGCGAAAGCGUGGGGAGCAAACAGG